UACAGAGGGUGCGAGCGUUAAUCGGAAUUACUGGGCGUAAAGCGUGCGUAGACGGCCAUCUAAGUCGGAUGUGAAAGCCCCGGGCUCAACCUGGGAAUUGCAUUUAAAACUGUCCAACUAGAGUCUUGUAGAGGGGGGUAGAAUUCCAGGUGUAGCGGUGAAAUGCGUAGAGAUCUGGAGGAAUACCGGUGGCGAAGGCGGCCCCCUGGACAAAGACUGACGCUCAGGUGCGAAAGCGUGGGGAGCAAACAGG
This 253-nucleotide ribosomal RNA is filed under the name uncultured prokaryote. RNAcentral's name for it is "partial 16S ribosomal RNA". It matches the Rfam family "Bacterial small subunit ribosomal RNA", at positions 524 to 776 of the family's 1533-position model. The record is from RNAcentral.